RNAcentral lists this long non-coding RNA (1612 nucleotides) under Bos indicus x Bos taurus (hybrid cattle). RNAcentral describes it as "lncRNA (ENSBIXG00000023269.1)". Lineage: Eukaryota; Metazoa; Chordata; Mammalia; Artiodactyla; Bovidae. The record is from RNAcentral.
GGAAUCAGAGUUCCCUGACCAAGGAUUGAACCCAUGCCCCCUGCAUUGGAAACACAGUUAUAACCACUGGACAGCUAGGGAGUUUUAAAUAAAUGUACAGCAUAUAAUAUCUCCUGUGAAAGGACCCAGAGAAGAAGAAACUAAGAAAAAACUUUGCUGGCAGGGAGGACAAGCACAGGAAAGUGUGCCUUCCGCAAGUAGAAAGCCUGGGGCCAUCCUGUUCAACCUGGUGCUGCUGGGACCAGAGGAAGGGAGACGCUAAGGGCCAUCUCACCGCUCUGACUUGUGAAGUCCACGGAUCCAGGAAGGUAAUACAGAGUGCUUCUGGUCCUACCUCCACAUGACAAUCGAGAGAAAAGCAGAAAUGACAUUUCACUUUCGUGCGGCUCACAGGACUAGCAGGAAAAGCCUUUGGAGAAGGCACAAGACACUCUGAGGAAACCACAUUAAUCAUCAACCCAGGAAACUGGAACACUCCACAAAGCCAUUGCUAUAAAUUCAAUAUUUACACAAAAUCUGGAGGUUGAAGUUCUUGUUACUCAGGGAAGGAAAACAUGAAAAGCUGCCAGAAAGAGAGCCCACUUGCUAUCUAGACUCCCCAAAUCAUCCUCAAGGGCAACAUUCUCAGAUUACAGAGCAGGCAACAGUUGCCAAUAGAUAGCAUGCCUUGACUAAUAACAUGUUCAUAUACUUUGUUCUUCCUAAUGACUGUGCCCAUUUUGAGUGGAGGAAACUUUAACCCCAAGGGCACAGUGACUUGUCCAAUGUCACACAACCAGUAAACGCCCAAGCUGAUAGUCAAACUCAGUCUGCCCGCUACUCAACCUCACAGACCACACCAGACAGAGAGACAGAGAGAAAAUUACCUGUAUUGUGUCUAAAGAAGCAUACCUAUGCAAAGUUCAUUUGGUCUGCUCUUUGGAAAGAUGAAAACCCAUGGUGUUGAAGGAACCUGCAUACACUCAACAGGGUUUAGGGUGAAGUCACUGGGACCCUGUCUAUAAUUUCUAAAAAAAAAAAAGCAUCUGUGAGCUGCCUUCAGGAACCUUACUAUGGCCUGCUUUGGCUGGAGCCCAGCUCAGAGUUCUUGGACUAGAAUUUCAAGGUAGGGCCCUGGAACAUGAAUUCCUAACAAGCCUCUCCAGUAGAUCUUAUACAAAGUGAAGAACAAGAGCCACCGGGGUUUACAUUCCUGACCAAACAACACCGAAAGAGUGAAACCAGACCUUGUCCCCAAGACUGAGGUCAGAUGGAACAGGGUGCGUUGUCCUGCCAUCAGUCCCAGGUCCAGAUGGGCCCUUCUGGCCCCUGCUCGUUGCUCAGCUCAAUUUAGCUUACACGACUGAAGCGACUUAGCAGCAGCAGCAGCAGCAGCAGCAGUCCUCCUGAAGGACAUCCCUCUGCUGUUUUAGUUUCUAAGAUUUGUCCUAUAAGCAAUCCUUCUCUCCUAAUGAGGUUAUUGGUGCCAUAUUACCACCAGGAAGGUGGCCCUGGUGUGCAGCUCAAUUAAGAAAGGUGUAUUAAAUUCUUUAUAUUUCUUCAUUUAGCUGCAGCACUCAUUCUAGAUUUGCUAAAUAAUAAAAUGUUGUUAAUGAGCUAGAGUAUGAGGCUC